This 846-nucleotide ribosomal RNA is filed under the name uncultured bacterium. RNAcentral describes it as "bacterial SSU rRNA". It matches the Rfam family "Bacterial small subunit ribosomal RNA", at positions 8 to 848 of the family's 1533-position model. The record is from RNAcentral.
AGAGUUUGAUCAUGGCUCAGAUUGAACGCUGGCGGAAUGCUUUACACAUGCAAGUCGAACGGCAGCACGGACUUCGGUCUGGUGGCGAGUGGCGAACGGGUGAGUAACAUAUCGGAACGUAUCCAAUAAUGGGGGAUAACUAAUCGAAAGGUUGGCUAAUACCGCAUACGCCCUACGGGGGAAAGCUAGGGACCUUCGGGCCUGGCGUUAAUGGAGCGGCCGAUAUCUGAUUAGCUAGUUGGUGAGGUAAAGGCUCACCAAGGCGACGAUCAGUAGCUGGUCUGAGAGGACGACCAGCCACACUGGAACUGAGACACGGUCCAGACUCCUACGGGAGGCAGCAGUGGGGAAUUUUGGACAAUGGGCGCAAGCCUGAUCCAGCCAUUCCGCGUGAGUGAAGAAGGCCUUCGGGUUGUAAAGCUCUUUCGCAAGGGAAGAAAACUUAUCCUCUAACAUAGGAUGAGGUUGACGGUACCUUGAUAAGAAGCACCGGCUAACUACGUGCCAGCAGCCGCGGUAAUACGUAGGGUGCGAGCGUUAAUCGGAAUUACUGGGCGUAAAGCGUGCGCAGGCGGCCUUGAAAGUCAGAUGUGAAAUCCCCGAGCUCAACUUGGGAACUGCGUUUGAAACUCCAAGGCUAGAAUAUGUCAGAGGGGGGUAGAAUUCCCACGUGUAGCAGUGAAAUGCGUAGAGAUGUGGAGGAAUACCAAUGGCGAAGCAGCCCCCUGGGAUAAUAUUGACGCUCAUGCACGAAAGCGUGGGGAGCAAACAGGAUUAGAUACCCUGGUAGUCCACGCCCUAAACGAUGUCUACUAGUUGUUGGUGGAGUAAAAUCCAUGAGUAACG